UACGUAGGGACCAAGCGUUGUUCGGAUUUACUGGGCGUAAAGGGCGCGUAGGCGGCAUGACAAGUCACUUGUGAAAUCUCUGGGCUUAACCCAGAACGGCCAAGUGAUACUGUCGCGCUAGAGUGCGGAAGGGGCAAUCGGAAUUCUCGGUGUAGCGGUGAAAUGCGUAGAUAUCGAGAGGAACACCUGAGGUGAAGACGGGUUGCUGGGCCGACGCUGACGCUGAGUGCGCGAAAGCCAGGGGA
RNAcentral lists this ribosomal RNA (245 nucleotides) under uncultured bacterium. RNAcentral describes it as "partial 16S ribosomal RNA". It matches the Rfam family "Bacterial small subunit ribosomal RNA", at positions 524 to 767 of the family's 1533-position model. The record is from RNAcentral.